This 450-nucleotide ribosomal RNA is filed under the name uncultured Glomeromycotina. Its description in RNAcentral is "SSU rRNA". It matches the Rfam family "Eukaryotic small subunit ribosomal RNA", at positions 569 to 1023 of the family's 1831-position model. Lineage: Eukaryota; Fungi; Glomeromycota. The record is from RNAcentral.
AGCAGCCGCGGUAAUUCCAGCUCCAAUAGCGUAUAUUAAAGUUGUUGCAGUUAAAAAGCUCGUAGUUGAAUUUCGGGGUUAGCAAGUUGGUCGUGCCUUCGGUAUGUACUGGCUUUGCUGAUUCCUCCUUCUUGAAGAACUGUGAUGCUAUUAAUUUGGUGUUGCAGGGAAACAGGACUGUUACUUUGAAAAAAUUAGAGUGUUUAAAGCAGGCUAACGCUUGAAUACAUUAGCAUGGAAUAAUGAAAUAGGACGCUUGAUCCUAUUUUGUUGGUUUCUAGGAUCAAUGUAAUGAUUAAUAGGGAUAGUUGGGGGCAUUAGUAUUCAAUUGUCAGAGGUGAAAUUCUUGGAUUUAUUGAAGACUAACUACUGCGAAAGCAUUUGCCAAGGAUGUUUUCAUUAAUCAAGAACGAAAGUUAGGGGAUCGAAGACGAUCAGAUACCGUCGUAG